GCAUAACGCGAAGAACCUUACCCACCUUUGACAUGUACGGAAUCCUUUAGAGAUAGAGGAGUGCUCGAAAGAGAGCCGUAACACAGGUGCUGCAUGGCUGUCGUCAGCUCGUGUCGUGAGAUGUUGGGUUAAGUCCCGCAACGAGCGCAACCCUUGCCAUUAGUUGCUACAUUUAGUUGAGCACUCUAAUGGGACUGCCGGUGACAAACCGGAGGAAGGUGGGGAUGACGUCAAGUCCUCAUGGCCCUUAUAGGUGGGGCUACACACGUCAUACAAUGGCUGGUACAAAGGGUUGCCAACCCGCGAGGGGGAGCUAAUCCCAUAGAGCCAGUCGUAGUCCGGAUCGCAGUCUGCAACUCGACUGCGUGAAGUCGGAAUCGCUAGUAAUCGUGGAUCAGAAUGUCACGGUGAAUAC
Molecule: ribosomal RNA, 415 nt
Filed under: uncultured bacterium
Lineage: Bacteria
Description: bacterial SSU rRNA
Rfam family: Bacterial small subunit ribosomal RNA
Source: RNAcentral